UACACUCCUACGGGAGGCAGCAGUGGGGAAUUUUGGACAAUGGGCGAAAGCCUGAUCCAGCCAUGCCGCGUGCAGGAUGAAGGCCUUCGGGUUGUAAACUGCUUUUGUACGGAACGAAACGGCCUUUUCUAAUAAAGAGGGCUAAUGACGGUACCGUAAGAAUAAGCACCGGCUAACUACGUGCCAGCAGCCGCGGUAAUACGUAGGGUGCAAGCGUUAAUCGGAAUUACUGGGCGUAAAGCGUGCGCAGGCGGUUAUGUAAGACAGUUGUGAAAUCCCCGGGCUCAACCUGGGAACUGCAUCUGUGACUGCAUAGCUAGAGUACGGUAGAGGGGGAUGGAAUUCCGCGUGUAGCAGUGAAAUGCGUAGAUAUGCGGAGGAACACCGAUGGCGAAGGCAAUCCCCUGGACCUGUACUGACGCUCAUGCACGAAAGCGUGGGGAGCAAACAGGAUUAGAUACCCUAGUAGUCCCAUG
This 476-nucleotide ribosomal RNA is filed under the name uncultured organism. Its description in RNAcentral is "partial 16S ribosomal RNA". It matches the Rfam family "Bacterial small subunit ribosomal RNA", at positions 332 to 799 of the family's 1533-position model. The record is from RNAcentral.